UUACAUAAUAAGUGAACGUGUGAAUAAAAGGGAUGAAAUGCCGACGGAAAUAAAAAAAAAAAUUCAAAGUUAUAGGUUUUUCGAGUUAUUUCUACUUGGAGAUUAGUAAUUCUAUAGUGGGGAAUUCAAAGAAGACAAUUAAACAUGCCCCAGUUGAGUUCGAUCUCAGUAGUAUAAGACCACUUGUGUUAUGUGUUAUUUGCAUGGAUUUUUGUGUUCUUUUCUUCUUCCAUGGAAUAUCUAUGUCAAUGUAUCAUACAAAUUUGAAUUCAUUCUUGUUUGGUUUUCAAUCAGUAAAAAAAAAAGUACUUUUUAGUUUGUUAAUUUCAUAUUAAAGUAGUGUACUAAGGAUAGAAUAGGCUUGACAGGGAAGGACUUGAAGAAAUUUGAAGAGUGUUAUCAAAUUGAAUAGUUUCUAUUACUACCGACUAGUACACCAUAACAAUUUGUUGUAUACUCGUCUGUCCUGUUUUUAACAUCCAAUAUUUUGUUGUUUCUAGCUUUUUGAGAAUAUCCAAAAUUCAAACUCUUGCUAAAUUGUGUAGAUGUGAGUAUGAUAAAGAUUUAAGGUUAUGUUGGUUUGUGGCCUCUUUUGUGAUUUGCUGAGUUUGUAUUCUUUCACCUCUCAUAUGGUUUAAAUUUCUUUGUGAAAGAAAGUGCACGUGUAAUAUGUGAUUUGAAUUUCUAAUUUUGCUUUGGAUACUGCAGAAUAGAACAAGCAUGCGUGUCAAUUUGCUAUAUGAAUGCUGACACAUCAAGAUUUAUACUUUUCAUAUAUUUUAUAAUAAAUACAUUUUGCUGUCCAGCAUAAAC
Molecule: long non-coding RNA, 813 nt
Filed under: Cicer arietinum (chickpea)
Lineage: Eukaryota; Viridiplantae; Streptophyta; Magnoliopsida; Fabales; Fabaceae
Description: long non-coding RNA (CARI_LNC003759)
Source: RNAcentral